This 458-nucleotide ribosomal RNA is filed under the name uncultured bacterium. RNAcentral describes it as "bacterial SSU rRNA". It matches the Rfam family "Bacterial small subunit ribosomal RNA", at positions 32 to 506 of the family's 1533-position model. The record is from RNAcentral.
AUCAACGCUGGCGGCGUGCAUGAGACAUGCAAGUCAAACGGGCGAACAAAGCUUGCUUUGUUCGCUAGUGGCGGACGGCUGAGUAACGCGUGGGUGACCUGCCCCGAAGUGGGGAAUAACUGCCCGAAAGGGUGGCUAAUACCGCAUGUGGUGGUGCGUUCGAUUGCACCAGUAAAGCCGCAAGGCGCUUCGGGAGGGGCCUGCGUCCGAUUAGCUCGUUGGUGGGGUAACGGCUCACCAAGGCGACGAUCGGUAGGUGGUCUGAGAGGACGAUCACCCAGACUGGGACUGAGACACGGCCCAGACUCCUACGGGAGGCAGCAGUCGGGAAUUUUGCGCAAUGGACGAAAGUCUGACGCAGCAACGCCGCGUGGGGGAUGACGGCCUUCGGGUUGUAAACCCCUUUUCUCAGGGACGAUAAUGACGGUACCUGAGGAAUAAGCCACGGCUAACUACGU